GGGUGAGUAACACGUGGGUAACCUGCCCAAGAGACUGGGAUAACACCUGGAAACAGAUGCUAAUACCGGAUAACAACACUAGACGCAUGUCUAGAGUUUGAAAGAUGGUUCUGCUAUCACUCUUGGAUGGACCUGCGGUGCAUUAGCUAGUUGGUAAGGUAACGGCUUACCAAGGCAAUGAUGCAUAGCCGAGUUGAGAGACUGAUCGGCCACAUUGGGACUGAGACACGGCCCAAACUCCUACGGGAGGCAGCAGUAGGGAAUCUUCCACAAUGGACGAAAGUCUGAUGGAGCAACGCCGCGUGAGUGAAGAAGGGUUUCGGCUCGUAAAGCUCUGUUGGUAGUGAAGAAAGAUAGAGGUAGUAACUGGCCUUUAUUUGACGGUAAUUACUUAGAAAGUCACGGCUAACUACGUGCCAGCAGCCGCGGUAAUACGUAGGUGGCAAGCGUUGUCCGGAUUUAUUGGGCGUAAAGCGAGUGCAGGCGGUUCAAUAAGUCUGAUGUGAAAGCCUUCGGCUCAACCGGAGAAUUGCAUCAGAAACUGUUGAACUUGAGUGCAGAAGAGGAGAGUGGAACUCCAUGUGUAGCGGUGGAAUGCGUAGAUAUAUGGAAGAACACCAGUGGCGAAGGCGGCUCUCUGGUCUGCAACUGACGCUGAGGCUCGAAAGCAUGGGUAGCGAACAGGAUUAGAUACCCUGGUAGUCCAUGCCGUAAACGAUG
RNAcentral lists this ribosomal RNA (720 nucleotides) under uncultured bacterium. Its description in RNAcentral is "bacterial SSU rRNA". It matches the Rfam family "Bacterial small subunit ribosomal RNA", at positions 104 to 811 of the family's 1533-position model. The record is from RNAcentral.